RNA transcript from Liolophura sinensis, 2747 nucleotides. It is a transcript of the gene named tropomyosin, with no coding region annotated. The transcript has 11 exons. The record is from RefSeq and is a predicted model, not a curated record. Lineage: Eukaryota; Metazoa; Mollusca; Polyplacophora; Chitonida; Chitonidae.
UCAUCGCAGCCUUUUCGAGUCAUCGGGUAAUAGUACAGACUCUUUCGUCUGUGGUGAAGCCAGUCGCCGUCUCCGGGCACCACAAGCUCCCGUUACUCUCGUCUGCAGUCCUAGUACCCCGUCACAAGCCAAAGGCGUCCGCAAAGGCACAUCGUCUCGCCAGCGAAGCAUUCCUAUUGCUUUUAAUUCCCUUUACUCAUUUUGUCGUUUUAUUUCUUGGAUAAAUCCAGAAAACAGUCAACAUGGAAGCCAUCAAGAAGAAGAUGUUAGCCAUGAAAAUGGAAAAGGAGAAUGCCUUGGACAAGUCCGAGGAGUUACAGCAAAAACUAAGGGAAACCGAAGAGCAAAAGGCAAAGGUUGAAGAAGAUCUCAGCAAUCUGCAAAAGAAAUACGCCAACCUUGAAAAUGAUUUCGACAAUGCUAACGAACAACUUCUUGAGGCACAAACAAAACUGGAAACCCAGGACAAGAGGGUCACCGAGCUUGAGGGUGAAGUGCAGGGUUUGAACAGGCGCACAACAUUACUUGAGGAAGAUUUGGAACACACUGAAGAAAGAUUGCAGAGUGCCACAGAGAAGCUAGAGGAAGCUUCCAAAGCUGCAGAUGAGAGUGAAAGAGGACGCAAGGUGCUUGAGAACAGGAGCGUGGCUGAUGAUGAAAGGAUAGACCAGCUUGAGGCUCAGCUUAAAGAAGCCAAAUACAUCGCUGAAGAUGCUGAGCGUAAAUACGAUGAGGCAGCCCGUAAGCUCGCGAUUACAGAGGUGGACCUUGAGCGUGCUGAGGCCCGUAUGGAGGCCGCAGAGGCAAAGAUCCUUGAGUUGGAGGAGGAAUUGAAGGUCGUGGGCAACAAUAUGAAAUCUUUGGAAAUCAGUGAGCAAGAGGCUUCACAGAGAGAGGACAGCUACGAGGAGACUAUUCGGGAUCUGACCCAGAGACUUAAGGAUGCUGAAAGUCGAUGCGAGUCCGCAGAAAGGAAUGUGGUAAAACUGCAGUCAGAAGUGCAGGAGUUGGAAGGUGUAGCUUUCAAAAGAUCCCCUUAGCUUGCUGUUUCUCUGAAGACAAGGUGAGAAACCAUUGAUGAAUUGCAGGAAACUAAACAACAAAACAAGCAACUUCAGGAGGAGAUUGACCUGACCCUAAACGACAUUGCCAGCAUGUAAUCCGGACUCAUGAUGAGCUACUGGCCGAGAAAGAGAAAUACAAGGCGAUAAGUGAAGAACUAGACCAAACUUUCGCAGAGCUGGCUGGCUACUAAAGUUUACAUCUUUCAAACCUAGGGGGAGCUCGUGAAGCAGAUAAAAAUCAAUCGAGGGAUUUUUUUUUUUUGAGACCUGCACAAUUACUCGUGCCCAAGCAUUCUUUUAAAGACGACUCAGUCAUGUGUUUUUAACAUUUUUCUGUGGAACUGAGUGUAGGUCGAGACCAGUUGUCCUAAAAGCCCCCUUUUGUAUGAAGCAGCCAGGUCAGGAACAGGCAGAGAAUAAUAUACUGUUGUUUGUCUCAUUUUGAUGGAACUGCCUGUUGCUUUCUUCUGUACAUGUUUUACCAGUGAUUUUGCAUGGGUGCUAGGCCAGAGUAGAGUUAGAGAAGAGAACAGAGUACUUGCAGGCCAGCGGGUUUUUUUUGAUUUUUUUUGCAUAUUACCCAGAAGGUAAUAUCCCUAUGUUGGUGCAUAUUGCAAUGCAAUUUAAUAUUUACCCUUUGAAGAGUGUGGCACUGCAGGGAAGCUGGAAUGCUAAAACCUCUGUCUCUCUUUCUCUGUCUAUACUCUCUGUAGUUCUCAUUGUAUUAUUUCAUUUGGCUAGAUUUUUAACCUUUUUGAUAGCCCGGUCAAAGCCUAGCACCCUGGCAAAAUCACCCUCCAUGCAAAUGGUGCCACGUCAUGCACUUGAACACAUUAGGCAUGACUAGUGACCCUUGCUUUUUGUAUAAUACUUAUAUUGAUUUACUUAAUCUUUGUAUUUAAGCUAAACUUUUAAGUGAUACGAAGGGAAAAUGUUUAGAAAGAAAGAUUAUGACACACAAUAGAACCACCUCCAAAAAAAAAAACAUAAAAGAAAAAUACUAAAAAAAAAAAACAGGCAAGAAACGUACAUGAACUGUUGGUACAGCGCGUUUGUAAUGAACAAGCCUCAAGUUCAGACGGUACCUGCCUGUGGAAUGAAGUGUGCGAUGUCUGAUGAAAUGAGUAUUUUGCAUGUGCCAUUUGUACUGACAUUGUGUCUGAUUGCCUGUAACAGAGAAAGAUGAAAAAAAAAAGCUACCAGUAAGAACUUCCUGUAACAUUAAAUGAUGUAAAAAUAUUUUCUAAUGACGGUCCGUUGCUUGCUCCUUUCUGUCCUCCUAGACUGGCUUUGAACAUUGUGGUUAACUUACAGGAGUAGCGAUCCCAAACCGCAUGUAUACGUAGAAACAUUUGUAGUAGGUAUAUAUAUAUAUAUAUAUUUGGGCAGGGCCUAGAGUGUGGGGGGGAUACAGGACUGGUGAAGCGGGAAGGUUUCUCUGUUAAUACCAGAUCGCUUCCUCUGCAUGUUUGAUAAGGAAUCCCCCAGGUGUGUGUUUCACUAACAUUUCCCCUCCUUGAGAGAUAACACGACCCAGCUUUCCUGUAUUUUUUUUUUUGUACCUUUUAUCGACAUUGUAGAGAUUUAUUUUAUCCUUUUGAUGCUUACACAUGCUAAUGGCCUGGAAAUUGCCACUUCUUUGUUUAUACCCAAAAAUAAAACUGCUAUUGUGAUUGGAAUGCA